UUUCUGUUACUUUUUCGGAUUCUCAAGCCAGAUUUUUUACUAGAAGUAAAGAGAUUGUUUUUACCAAAGAGGAAGAUGAAUGUGUAAUUGGAGGUGUUGAAGAAGGAGAGGAAUUUCGAUUUAUAAUCACAGUUAAUCCAUUGGUGUUCUUUUUGGAUUUGAGCAAUCAAUCAAAACGGGUGUGGUUCUUAAUGCAAAGUGAUUUCUCAUGUAUGAUGGUUCUUCCUUUGGGAAUGUGGCAUCAAUUUUGGAUCUAUUUUCCAUCACAGUGUCAUAUUCAUAUACCUAUGUUUGACGACUAAAAUUCUUGUUUUGGUAAAAGUACCUGAAUAAUCAU
Molecule: long non-coding RNA, 337 nt
Organism: Cucumis melo (muskmelon)
Lineage: Eukaryota; Viridiplantae; Streptophyta; Magnoliopsida; Cucurbitales; Cucurbitaceae
Exons: 2
Source: RefSeq, a predicted model, not a curated record